This 543-nucleotide ribosomal RNA is filed under the name Triticum aestivum (bread wheat). Its description in RNAcentral is "partial small subunit ribosomal RNA". Lineage: Eukaryota; Viridiplantae; Streptophyta; Magnoliopsida; Poales; Poaceae. The record is from RNAcentral.
AUGCAGCUGUCCAAUGAAAAUCUCGCCAUCGCCACUCUGGUACCAAUGCCCCAAGGUGAAGUCGCCUUUGUCAAUGUCCGAGAGGUUCUCAGUGAUUUCUUGGUUUCGCAAAGGGUAGUGUUUUCGUCUAUCUCCAAAUGCCCUUUUGGUCAAGCAUUUGUCAGAUGCAACAGUAAAGCAGAUAGAGAUUCCUUGGUCAAUAGGAGCCCACAUCCUUUUGAUGAUAUUCACAUCGUUUUCCAAAAGCAUGAUCAGGGCCUGAACUGGAGGAAGUUCAAUCUGGCCAGAGAUUGUUGGCUGUUGUUGGUUGGUUUCCCAGCAGAUCUUCGUUGCAUGUCUGAGCUCAACAAUAUUGUCUCUAGUUUUGGAAAGUUGCUUUCUUGGGACCGAGUGAAAACCACUAAUACCGCUGUAGCAGUUAAAGUGAGAAUCGAUGCUCUUUCAGAUGUUUCAGUUAGUUUGGCAGUCACAGGGGGCAUGCACUUCGAAGGAGAAUCAGGGCUGAUGCUGCAGUUGGUGCUGCUGCUGAACUUCAGGGAGUAG